GAUGAACGCUGGCGGCGUGCCUAAUACAUGCAAGUCGAGCGAACAGACGAGGAGCUUGCUCCUCUGACGUUAGCGGCGGACGGGUGAGUAACACGUGGAUAACCUACCUAUAAGACUGGGAAUAACUUCGGGAAACCGGAGCUAAUACCGGAUAAUAUAUUGAACCGCAUGGUUCAAUAGUGAAAGACGGUUUUGCUGUCACUUAUAGAUGGAUCCGCGCCGCAUUAGCUAGUUGGUAAGGUAACGGCUUACCAAGGCAACGAUGCGUAGCCGACCUGAGAGGGUGAUCGGCCACACUGGAACUGAGACACGGUCCAGACUCCUACGGGAGGCAGCAGUAGGGAAUCUUCCGCAAUGGGCGAAAGCCUGACGGAGCAACGCCGCGUGAGUGAUGAAGGUCUUCGGAUCGUAAAACUCUGUUAUUAGGGAAGAACAAAUGUGUAAGUAACUAUGCACGUCUUGACGGUACCUAAUCAGAAAGCCACGGCUAACUACGUG
This 498-nucleotide ribosomal RNA is filed under the name uncultured bacterium. Its description in RNAcentral is "partial 16S ribosomal RNA". It matches the Rfam family "Bacterial small subunit ribosomal RNA", at positions 28 to 507 of the family's 1533-position model. The record is from RNAcentral.